This 384-nucleotide ribosomal RNA is filed under the name Triticum aestivum (bread wheat). Its description in RNAcentral is "partial small subunit ribosomal RNA". Lineage: Eukaryota; Viridiplantae; Streptophyta; Magnoliopsida; Poales; Poaceae. The record is from RNAcentral.
AUGCUUCCCGGCAUGAUUGGCUUACCGGGUGUUCGGGCGUUCUUUGCUGGGAGAGAGAGGAGGCCAAUGGAGACACACGAAUCUGGCGGUCGAGGGCGCCGGCGACCUGCAAGUUGUUUGCAUUGCUGGCGGCUAGGAAGAGGUGUUGGAUGGCAUACAAGCUUGUGCGACGAUAGCUAUCAUACCCUUCGGCUUGUCCAUUCGGUGAUCAAGCAUCGGAAACAAUCAACCACAUCCUGCAUGGCUGUGUCUAAGCUAUGCAAGUGUAGCUCACCAUCCUCGACCACUGGGACAAACCAACAUGGCUACCAAAGUGUGGAUGCCAGUAUGAUGGAAUGGGGGACCUCCAUAAAUCCACAACCAAAGCUCAAUUUGGAGACAUGA